This 501-nucleotide ribosomal RNA is filed under the name uncultured bacterium. RNAcentral describes it as "partial 16S ribosomal RNA". It matches the Rfam family "Bacterial small subunit ribosomal RNA", at positions 30 to 523 of the family's 1533-position model. The record is from RNAcentral.
AUUGAACGCUGGCGGCAGGCUUAACACAUGCAAGUCGAGCGGGGGAAGGUAGCUUGCUACCGGACCUAGCGGCGGACGGGUGAGUAAUGCUUAGGAAUCUGCCUAUUAGUGGGGGACAACAUCUCGAAAGGGAUGCUAAUACCGCAUACGUCCUACGGGAGAAAGCAGGGGAUCUUCGGACCUUGCGCUAAUAGAUGAGCCUAAGUCGGAUUAGCUAGUUGGUGGGGUAAAGGCCUACCAAGGCGACGAUCCGUAGCGGGUCUGAGAGGAUGAUCCGCCACACUGGGACUGAGACACGGCCCAGACUCCUACGGGAGGUAGCAGUGGGGAAUAUUGGACAAUGGGGGGAACCCUGAUCCAGCCAUGCCGCGUGUGUGAAGAAGGCCUUAUGGUUGUAAAGCACUUUAAGCGAGGAGGAGGCUACUUUAGUUAAUACCUAGAGAUAGUGGACGUUACUCGCAGAAUAAGCACCGGCUAACUCUGUGCCAGCCGCCGCGGUAA